This 253-nucleotide ribosomal RNA is filed under the name uncultured bacterium. RNAcentral describes it as "partial 16S ribosomal RNA". It matches the Rfam family "Bacterial small subunit ribosomal RNA", at positions 524 to 776 of the family's 1533-position model. The record is from RNAcentral.
UACGGAGGGUGCGAGCGUUAUCCGGAUUUAUUGGGUUUAAAGGGUGCGCAGGUGGGCUUGUAAGUCAGUGGUGAAAUACUGCCGCUUAACGGUAGAACUGCCAUUGAUACUGCGAGUCUUGAGUAUGGUUGAGGUAGGCGGAAUGUGUUGUGUAGCGGUGAAAUGCAUAGAUAUGACACAGAACGCCGAUUGCGAAGGCAGCUUACUAAGCCAUUACUGACGCUGAGGCACGAAAGCGUGGGGAGCGAACAGG